AGUGAACGCUGGCGGUAGGCCUAACACAUGCAAGUCGAACGGCAGCACAGGAGAGCUUGCUCUCUGGGUGGCGAGUGGCGGACGGGUGAGGAAUACAUCGGAAUCUACUCUGUCGUGGGGGAUAACGUAGGGAAACUUACGCUAAUACCGCAUACGACCUACGGGUGAAAGCAGGGGACCUUCGGGCCUUGCGCGAUUGAAUGAGCCGAUGUCGGAUUAGCUAGUUGGCGGGGUAAAGGCCCACCAAGGCGACGAUCCGUAGCUGGUCUGAGAGGAUGAUCAGCCACACUGGAACUGAGACACGGGCCAGACUCCUACGGGAGGCAGCAGUGGGGAAUAUUGGACAAUGGGCGCAAGCCUGAUCCAGCCAUACCGCGUGGGUGAAGAAGGCCUUCGGGUUGUAAAGCCCUUCUGUUGGGAAAGAAAUCCAGCUGGCUAAUACCCGGUUGGGAUGACGGUGCCCAAAGAAUAAGCACCGGCUAACUUCGUGCCAGCCGCCGCAGUAA
RNAcentral lists this ribosomal RNA (506 nucleotides) under uncultured bacterium. Its description in RNAcentral is "partial 16S ribosomal RNA". It matches the Rfam family "Bacterial small subunit ribosomal RNA", at positions 29 to 523 of the family's 1533-position model. The record is from RNAcentral.